RNAcentral lists this ribosomal RNA (322 nucleotides) under uncultured Pseudomonadota bacterium. Its description in RNAcentral is "bacterial SSU rRNA". It matches the Rfam family "Bacterial small subunit ribosomal RNA", at positions 28 to 351 of the family's 1533-position model. Lineage: Bacteria; Pseudomonadati; Pseudomonadota. The record is from RNAcentral.
GACGAACGCUGGCGGCGUGGAUUAGGCAUGCAAGUCGAACGCGAAAGGGCCUUCGGGCCCGAGUAGAGUGGCGGACGGGUGAGUAACGCGUGGGAAUCUACCUUGGAGCGGGGGACAACCCGGGGAACCCGGGCUAAUACCGCAUACGUCCUAAGGGGAGAAAGAGGGCCUCUGCCUGCAAGCUCUCACUCCAAGAUGAGCCCGCGUCCGAUUAGCUAGUUGGUAGGGUAAAGGCCUACCAAGGCCACGAUCGGUAGCUGGUCUGAGAGGAUGAUCAGCCACACUGGGACUGAGACACGGCCCAGACUCCUACGGGUGGCUG